Molecule: ribosomal RNA, 468 nt
Filed under: uncultured bacterium
Lineage: Bacteria
Description: partial 16S ribosomal RNA
Rfam family: Bacterial small subunit ribosomal RNA
Source: RNAcentral
GACGAACGCUGGCGGCGUGCUUAACACAUGCAAGUCGAACGGAAAGGCCCUGCUUUUGUGGGGUGCUCGAGUGGCGAACGGGUGAGUAACACGUGAGUAACCUGCCCUUGAAUUUGGGAUAACUUCAGGAAACUGGGGCUAAUACCGGAUAGGAUCUACUGCUGCAUGGUGGGGGUUGGAAAGUUUCGGCGGUUGGGGAUGGACUCGCGGCUUACCAGCUUGUUGGUGGGGUAGUGGCUUACCAAGGGUUUGACGGGUAGCCGGCCUGGGAGGGUGACCAGCCACAAUAGUACUAAGAUACGGCCCAGACUCCUACGGUAGGCAGCGGUGGGGAAUAUUGCACAAUGGGCGGAAGCCUGAGACAGCAGCGCCGCGUGCGGGAUGACGGCCUUCGGGUUGUAAACCGCUUUCGCCUGUGACGAAGCGUGAGUGACGGUAAUGGGUAAAGAAGCACCGGCUAACUACGUG